GACUCAUUGGUGUAAUGGUCGGCACGUCCGUACUACAUUGGGCACCGAUGGUAAUAUUUGCAUUGCUCACAUAUGGGAGAUCCUAGUUCGACUCUGGGACGAGUCC
Stereum hirsutum FP-91666 SS1 is the source of this 106-nucleotide non-coding RNA. Lineage: Eukaryota; Fungi; Basidiomycota; Agaricomycetes; Russulales; Stereaceae. The record is from the annotation of a RefSeq genome assembly.